UAUUAAAGCACACUUACGCAUAUUUGUUGGUAUUUUUUUCGCAAAGAAGUUAAGCAUGCUUUGGGUCCAGUUCAAGUCAAGGUUUGAGACAAUGCAAAUGAGCCGAACUCUUCCCUGACUGCAGUGGUUUGGAAGGUGCCUCAGUCCCCUACCUUUAGCCCCAUCUGUCCUAUAUUGUCCACUAAAUGUUUUUCCUUGCAGCUUCACCUCCUCAACGAACGUCGACUACGGAGAGUUCCUGGUGAGCGUCAACGGUUUGUUUGGGAACGACCAAGACCGGACAUACUGGGAGCUGCUGGUUCAGAAAGACACCAACACCAUUAUCAGACCUGAUGUUGGUAGGUUUGUGUGUGUGUGUGUGUGUGUGUGUGUGUGUGUGUGUGUGUGUGUGUGUGUGUGUGUGUAGGUCCCGUCUUUGGAUCGCUCUCACUGGGAGAGUAUGGACCUUAUGCCCCUGGCGGCCAUCUUGGUUCUAACCUCAGCAGUAUUUAUGCUCCUGUUUGGAACCAAGAUGGCAGCUUUGUAAAUAAGGCCCAGGCUUUGGAACCCGGACGAUCACAUCUCAACCUGGCCUUGCUUGUUUUUUUGUUCCAUAAUAAUUUUGCGAUUAAAGACUUCUAGUGUAUAAACCUCAACCUGCCUCUGGUC
RNAcentral lists this long non-coding RNA (648 nucleotides) under Gadus morhua (Atlantic cod). Its description in RNAcentral is "lncRNA (ENSGMOG00000031871.1)". The record is from RNAcentral. Lineage: Eukaryota; Metazoa; Chordata; Actinopteri; Gadiformes; Gadidae.